GAUGAACGCUGGCGGCGUGCCUAAUACAUGCAAGUCGAGCGAACAGACGAGGAGCUUGCUCCUCUGACGUUAGCGGCGGACGGGUGAGUAACACGUGGAUAACCUACCUAUAAGACUGGGAUAACUUCGGGAAACCGGAGCUAAUACCGGAUAAUAUAUUGAACCGCAUGGUUCAAUAGUGAAAGACGGUUUUGCUGUCACUUAUAGAUGGAUCCGCGCCGCAUUAGCUAGUUGGUAAGGUAACGGCUUACCAAGGCAACGAUGCGUAGCCGACCUGAGAGGGUGAUCGGCCACACUGGAACUGAGACACGGUCCAGACUCCUACGGGAGGCAGCAGUAGGGAAUCUUACGCAAUGGGCGAAAGCCUGACGGAGCAACGCCGCGUGAGUGAUGAAGGUCUUCGGAUCGUAAAACUCUGUUAUUAGGGAAGAACAAAUGUGUAAGUAACUAUGCACGUCGUGACGGUACCUAAUCAGAAAGCCACGGCUAACUACGUG
Molecule: ribosomal RNA, 497 nt
Filed under: uncultured bacterium
Lineage: Bacteria
Description: partial 16S ribosomal RNA
Rfam family: Bacterial small subunit ribosomal RNA
Source: RNAcentral